GCCAGCAUGGCGUAGUGGUUUGAGUGUGGGACUACAAAUCUGGAGACCAGGGUUCAAAUCCCUGCUCAGUCA
Non-coding RNA from Phrynosoma platyrhinos (Desert horned lizard), 72 nucleotides. The record is from the annotation of a GenBank genome assembly. Lineage: Eukaryota; Metazoa; Chordata; Lepidosauria; Squamata; Phrynosomatidae.